RNAcentral lists this non-coding RNA (45 nucleotides) under Trichobilharzia regenti. Lineage: Eukaryota; Metazoa; Platyhelminthes; Trematoda; Strigeidida; Schistosomatidae. The record is from RNAcentral.
AUCCGGAUGAUGAGUCGGAAACAAGGCGAAAUGUACAUCCCAGAU